This 484-nucleotide ribosomal RNA is filed under the name uncultured bacterium. RNAcentral's name for it is "partial 16S ribosomal RNA". It matches the Rfam family "Bacterial small subunit ribosomal RNA", at positions 29 to 507 of the family's 1533-position model. The record is from RNAcentral.
AUUGAACGCUGGCGGCAUGCUUUACACAUGCAAGUCGAACGGCAGCGCGGGCUUCGGCCUGGCGGCGAGUGGCGAACGGGUGAGUAAUGAAUCGGAACGUGCCCAGUAGUGGGGGAUAGCACGGCGAAAGCCGGAGUAAUACCGCAUACGACAUGAGGGUGAAAGAGGGGGACCGAAAGGCCUCGCGCUAUUGGAGCGGCCGAUGUCGGAUUAGCUAGUUGGUGGGGUAAAGGCUUACCAAGGCGACGAUCCGUAGCUGGUCUGAGAGGACGACCAGCCACACUGGGACUGAGACACGGCCCAGACUCCUACGGGAGGCAGCAGUGGGGAAUUUUGGACAAUGGGGGCAACCCUGAUCCAGCCAUGCCGCGUGCGGGAAGAAGGCCUUCGGGUUGUAAACCGCUUUUGUUCGGGAAGAAAUCCUCUGGGCUAAUACCCCGGGGGGAUGACGGUACCGGAAGAAUAAGCACCGGCUAACUACGUG